Molecule: ribosomal RNA, 379 nt
Filed under: uncultured bacterium
Lineage: Bacteria
Description: partial 16S ribosomal RNA
Rfam family: Bacterial small subunit ribosomal RNA
Source: RNAcentral
CCUACGGGUGGCAGCAGUGGGGGAUAUUGCACAAUGGGGGGAACCCUGAUGCAGCGACGCCGCGUGGGCGAAGAAGCGCCUCGGCGCGUAAAGCCCUGUCAGCAGGGAAGAAAAUGACGGUACCUGAAGAAGAAGCCCCGGCUAACUACGUGCCAGCAGCCGCGGUAAUACGUAGGGGGCAAGCGUUAUCCGGAUUUACUGGGUGUAAAGGGGGCGUAGACGGCGAUGCAAGCCAGGAGUGAAAGCCCGGGGCCCAACCCCGGGACUGCUCUUGGAACUGCGGGGCUGGAGUGCAGGAGGGGCAGGCGGAAUUCCUGGUGGAGCGGUGAAAUGCGUAGAUAUCAGGAGGAACACCAGUGGCGAAGGCGGCCUGCUGGAC